Molecule: small RNA, 83 nt
Filed under: Flavobacterium sp. ov086
Lineage: Bacteria; Pseudomonadati; Bacteroidota; Flavobacteriia; Flavobacteriales; Flavobacteriaceae
Description: Flavo-1 RNA
Rfam family: Flavo-1 RNA
Source: RNAcentral
CCUUAGCCCUGAUAGAAGCGGUAUCCUUUUAUUUUUUUUUCUUUAGAAAAAAUAAAAGAUACAAGUGGAUAGCAGGAAAUAGC